GCGCCCGUAGUUCAGUUGGAUAGAACAGCGACCUUCUAAGUCGCCUGUCGCAGGUUCGAGUCCUGCCGGGCGCG
This 74-nucleotide transfer RNA is filed under the name Thermogemmatispora tikiterensis. It matches the Rfam family "tRNA". From Rfam's summary of the family: Transfer RNA (tRNA) molecules are approximately 80 nucleotides in length. Their secondary structure includes four short double-helical elements and three loops (D, anti-codon, and T loops). Further hydrogen bonds mediate the characteristic L-shaped molecular structure. tRNAs have two regions of fundamental functional importance: the anti-codon, which is responsible for specific mRNA codon recognition, and the 3' end, to which the tRNAs corresponding amino acid is attached (by aminoacyl-tRNA synthetases). tRNAs cope with the degeneracy of the genetic code in two manners: having more than one tRNA (with a specific anti-codon) for a particular amino acid; and 'wobble' base-pairing, i.e. permitting non-standard base-pairing at the 3rd anti-codon position. Lineage: Bacteria; Bacillati; Chloroflexota; Ktedonobacteria; Thermogemmatisporales; Thermogemmatisporaceae. The record is from Rfam by way of RNAcentral. RNAcentral also lists the same sequence under 1 other name.